AACGAACGCUGGCGGCAUGCCUAAUACAUGCAAGUCGAACGAGAUCUUCGGAUCUAGUGGCGCACGGGUGCGUAACGCGUGGGAAUCUGCCCUUGGGUGCGGAAGAACUUCUGGAAACGGAAGCUAAUACCGGAUGAUGCCUUAAGUCCAAAGAUUUAUCGCCCAAGGAUGAGCCCGCGUAGGAUUAGCUAGUUGGUGGGGUAAAGGCCCACCAAGGCGACGAUCCUUAGCUGGUCUGAGAGGAUGAUCAGCCACACUGGGACUGAGACACGGCCCAGACUCCUACGGGAGGCAGCAGUAGGGAAUAUUGGACAAUGGGCGCAAGCCUGAUCCAGCAAUGCCGCGUGAGUGAUGAAGGCCUUAGGGUUGUAAAGCUCUUUUACCCGGGAUGAUAAUGACGGUACCGGGAGAAUAAGCCCCGGCUAACUCCGUG
RNAcentral lists this ribosomal RNA (433 nucleotides) under uncultured bacterium. RNAcentral describes it as "partial 16S ribosomal RNA". It matches the Rfam family "Bacterial small subunit ribosomal RNA", at positions 29 to 507 of the family's 1533-position model. The record is from RNAcentral.